AGUUUUAUAGUCUAAAUAAGACUUUAAAUUGCAAAUUUAAAAAUAUAAAAAUUUAUUUAUUAAAACUU
Molecule: non-coding RNA, 68 nt
Organism: Clunio marinus
Lineage: Eukaryota; Metazoa; Arthropoda; Insecta; Diptera; Chironomidae
Source: the annotation of a GenBank genome assembly